CCUACGGGAGGCAGCAGUGAGGAAUAUUGGACAAUGGGCGAGAGCCUGAUCCAGCCAUGCCGCGUGCAGGAAGACUGCCCUAUGGGUUGUAAACUGCUUUUAUACAGGAAGAAACACUCUCACGUGUGAGAGCUUGACGGUACUGUAAGAAUAAGGAUCGGCUAACUCCGUGCCAGCAGCCGCGGUAAUACGGAGGAUCCAAGCGUUAUCCGGAAUCAUUGGGUUUAAAGGGUCCGUAGGCGGGCAGCUAAGUCAGUGGUGAAAGUCUGUAGCUCAACUAUAGAAUUGCCAUUGAUACUGGUUGUCUUGAAUCAUUAUGAAGUGGUUAGAAUAUGUAGUGUAGCGGUGAAAUGCAUAGAUAUUACAUAGAAUACCAAUUGCGAAGGCAGAUCACUAAUAAUGUAUUGACGCUGAUGGACGAAAGCGUGGGGAGCGAACAGGAUUAGAUACCCUGGUAGUCCACGCCGUAAACGAUGGAUACUAGCUGUUCGAUCUUCGGAUUGAGUGGCUAAGCGAAAGU
RNAcentral lists this ribosomal RNA (520 nucleotides) under uncultured bacterium. RNAcentral's name for it is "bacterial SSU rRNA". It matches the Rfam family "Bacterial small subunit ribosomal RNA", at positions 338 to 858 of the family's 1533-position model. The record is from RNAcentral.